CCAAUCGAACCUGGAGAUAGCUGGUUCUCUCCGAAAUAGCUUUAGGGCUAGCCUCAAGUGAUGAUUAUUGGAGGUAGAGCACUGUUUGGACGAGGGGCCCCUCUCGGGUUACCGAAUUCAGACAAACUCCGAAUGCCAAUUAAUUUAACUUGGGAGUCAGAACAUGGGUGAUAAGGUCCGUGUUCGAAAGGGAAACAGCCCAGACCACCAGCUAAGGUCCCAAAAUAUAUGUUAAGUGGAAAAGGAUGUGGCGUUGCCCAGACAACUAGGAUGUUGGCUUAGAAGCAGCCAUCAUUUAAAGAGUGCGUAAUAGCUCACUAGUCGAGUGACACUGCGCCGAAAAUGUACCGGGGCUAAACAUAUUACCGAAGCUGUGGAUUGUCCUUUGGACAAUGGUAGGAGAGCGUUCUAAGGGCGUUGAAGCAUGAUCGUAAGGACAUGUGGAGCGCUUAGAAGUGAGAAUGCCGGUGUGAGUAGCGAAAGACGGGUGAGAAUCCCGUCCACCGAUUGACUAAGGUUUCCAGAGGAAGGCUCGUCCGCUCUGGGUUAGUCGGGUCCUAAGCUGAGGCCGACAGGCGUAGGCGAUGGAUAACAGGUUGAUAUUCCUGUACCACCUAUAAUCGUUUUAAUCGAUGGGGGGACGCAGUAGGAUAGGCGAAGCGUGCGAUUGGAUUGCACGUCUAAGCAGUAAGGCUGAGUAUUAGGCAAAUCCGGUACUCGUUAAGGCUGAGCUGUGAUGGGGAGAAGACAUUGAGUCUUCGAGUCGUUGAUUUCACACUGCCGAGAAAAGCCUCUAGAUAGAAAAUAGGUGCCCGUACCGCAAACCGACACAGGUAGUCAAGAUGAGAAUUCUAAGGUGAGCGAGCGAACUCUCGUUAAGGAACUCGGCAAAAUGACCCCGUAACUUCGGGAGAAGGGGUGCUCUUUAGGGUUAACGCCCAGAAGAGCCGCAGUGAAUAGGCCCAAGCGACUGUUUAUCAAAAACACAGGUCUCUGCUAAACCGUAAGGUGAUGUAUAGGGGCUGACGCCUGCCCGGUGCUGGAAGGUUAAGAGGAGUGGUUAGCUUCUGCGAAGCUACGAAUCGAAGCCCCAGUAAACGGCGGCCGUAACUAUAACGGUCCUAAGGUAGCGAAAUUCCUUGUCGGGUAAGUUCCGACCCGCACGAAAGGCGUAACGAUUUGGGCACUGUCUCAACGAGAGACUCGGUGAAAUCAUAGUACCUGUGAAGAUGCAGGUUACCCGCGACAGGACGGAAAGACCCCGUGGAGCUUUACUGUAGCCUGAUAUUGAAAUUCGGCACAGCUUGUACAGGAUAGGUAGGAGCCUUUGAAACGUGAGCGCUAGCUUACGUGGAGGCGCUGGUGGGAUACUACCCUAGCUGUGUUGGCUUUCUAACCCGCACCACUUAUCGUGGUGGGAGACAGUGUCAAGCGGGCAGUUUGACUGGGGCGGUCGCCUCCUAAAAGGUAACGGAGGCGCUCAAAGGUUCCCUCAGAAUGGUUGGAAAUCAUUCAUAGAGUGUAAAGGCAUAAGGGAGCUUGACUGCGAGACCUACAAGUCGAGCAGGGUCGAAAGACGGACUUAGUGAUCCGGUGGUUCCGCAUGGAAGGGCCAUCGCUCAACGGAUAAAAGCUACCCCGGGGAUAACAGGCUUAUCUCCCCCAAGAGUUCACAUCGACGGGGAGGUUUGGCACCUCGAUGUCGGCUCAUCGCAUCCUGGGGCUGUAGUCGGUCCCAAGGGUUGGGCUGUUCGCCCAUUAAAGCGGUACGCGAGCUGGGUUCAGAACGUCGUGAGACAGUUCGGUCCCUAUCCGUCGUGGGCGUAGGAAAUUUGAGAGGAGCUGUCCUUAGUACGAGAGGACCGGGAUGGACAUACCUCUGGUGUACCAGUUGUCGUGCCAACGGCAUAGCUGGGUAGCUAUGUGUGGACGGGAUAAGUGCUGAAAGCAUCUAAGCAUGAAGCCCCCCUCAAGAUGAGAUUUCCCAACUUCGGUUAUAAGAUCCCUCAAAGAUGAUGAGGUUAAUAGGUUCGAGGUGGAAGCAUGGUGACAUGUGGAGCUGACGAAUACUAAUCGAUCGAAGACUUAAUCAA
RNAcentral lists this ribosomal RNA (2093 nucleotides) under Staphylococcus aureus M1078. Its description in RNAcentral is "bacterial LSU rRNA". It matches the Rfam family "Bacterial large subunit ribosomal RNA", at positions 829 to 2925 of the family's 2925-position model. The record is from RNAcentral. Lineage: Bacteria; Bacillati; Bacillota; Bacilli; Caryophanales; Staphylococcaceae.